GGAGAGUCAUUAUCAGCACAAGUUGUUGAUGAGCAAGUUUAUCCUCAUGUUGCUACUGGGUUUUCUGAUACAUCAGCGUUCCUUCGUGAAUUGACCCUCAAAUCCAUGCUUGUUUUGGCACCCAAGCUUUCUCAACGUACUAUUUCGGGCUCCUUAUUGAAGUAUCUUUCAAAGUUACAGGUUGAUGAAGAGCCUGCAAUUAGGACAAACACCACCAUAUUACUUGGGAAUAUUGCAAGCUAUCUAAAUGAAGGGACAAGGAAGAGAGUAUUAAUUAAUGCUUUUAC
This 287-nucleotide unclassified non-coding RNA is filed under the name Hevea brasiliensis (rubber tree). The record is from RNAcentral. Lineage: Eukaryota; Viridiplantae; Streptophyta; Magnoliopsida; Malpighiales; Euphorbiaceae.